This 419-nucleotide ribosomal RNA is filed under the name bacterium. Its description in RNAcentral is "partial 16S ribosomal RNA". It matches the Rfam family "Bacterial small subunit ribosomal RNA", at positions 355 to 776 of the family's 1533-position model. The record is from RNAcentral.
UGGGGGAUAUUGCACAAUGGGCGAAAGCCUGAUGCAGCGACGCCGCGUGGGGGAUGAAGGCCUUCGGGUUGUAAACUUCUUUUGCUCUGAACAAGGCGCACCAUGGGGUGUGUUGAGUGUAGGGGUUGAUUAGCGCCGGCUAACUACGUGCCAGCAGCCGCGGUAAUACGUAGGGCGCGAGCGUUGUCCGGAAUUAUUGGGCGUAAAGGGCUUGUAGGUGGCUGUUUGCGUCUGUCGUGAAAGCUCAUGGCUUAACUGUGGGUUUGCGGUGGGUACGGGCUGGCUUGAGUGCAGUAGGGGAGGCUGGAAGUCCUGGUGUAGCGGUGGAAUGCGCAGAUAUCAGGAGGAAUACCGGUGGCGAAGGCGGGUCUCUGGGCUGUUACUGACACUGAGGAGCGAAAGCAUGGGGAGCGAACAGG